AAUCAACGCUGGCGGCGUGCCUCAGACAUGCAAGUCGAACGCGAAAGUCCCCUUCGGGGGGCGAGUAGAGUGGCGCACGGGUGAGUAACACGUAGGUAAUCUACCUUUGGAUGGGGAAUAACAAUCGGAAACGGUUGCUAAUACCGCAUAAUGCAGCGGCACCUAAUGGUGACAGUUGUUAAAGCGGGGGAGUCGAAAGACCUCGCGUCUAAAGAGGAGCCUGCGGCGGAUUAGCAGUUGGUAAGGUAAUGGCUUACCAAGGCAACGAUCCGUAACCGGCCUGAGAGGGCGGUCGGUCACACUGACACUGACAUACGGGUCAGACUCCUACGGGAGGCAGCAGUCGGGUAAUUUUGGGCAAUGGGCGAAAGCCUGACCCAGCAACGCCGCGUGAAGGAU
Molecule: ribosomal RNA, 399 nt
Filed under: uncultured bacterium
Lineage: Bacteria
Description: bacterial SSU rRNA
Rfam family: Bacterial small subunit ribosomal RNA
Source: RNAcentral